RNAcentral lists this ribosomal RNA (861 nucleotides) under uncultured bacterium. RNAcentral describes it as "bacterial SSU rRNA". It matches the Rfam family "Bacterial small subunit ribosomal RNA", at positions 54 to 946 of the family's 1533-position model. The record is from RNAcentral.
CAUGCAGUCGCGCGUCGAAGCCGGUUUCGGCCGGUGGAAAGCGGCGGACGGGUGAGAAACACGUAGGAACCUGCCUAGAAGUGGGGGACAACCCCGGGAAACCGGGGCUAAUACCGCAUAUGGUCCACGGACCAAAGCCUUCGGGCGCUUCUGGAGGGGCCUGCGGCGGAUUAGCUAGUUGGUGGGGUAACGGCCUACCAAGGCGACGAUCCGUAGCUGGUCUGAGAGGACGGUCAGCCACACUGGGACUGAGAUACGGCCCAGACUCCUACGGGAGGCAGCAGCAAGGAAUUUUCCGCAAUGGGCGCAAGCCUGACGGUGCAACGCCGCGUGGAGGAAGACGGCUUUCGAGUUGUAAACUCCUUUUGCGAGGGAAGAAGAUCUGACGGUACCUCGCGAAUAAGCCACGGCUAACUACGUGCCAGCAGCCGCGGUAAUACGUAGGUGGCAAGCGUUGUCCGGAUUCACUGGGCGUAAAGCGCGCGCAGGCGGGCUGAUAAGUCCCGGGUUAAAUCCCACGGCUUAACCGUGGGCAGCCCCGGGAUACUGUCAGUCUUGAGGCAUCCAGAGGAGAGUGGAAUUCCCGGUGUAGUGGUGGAAUGCGUAGAUAUCGGGAGGAACACCAGUGGCGAAAGCGGCUCUCUGGGGAUGUCCUGACGCUGAGGCGCGAAAGCGUGGGGAGCGAACCGGAUUAGAUACCCGGGUAGUCCACGCCGUAAACGAUGAGUACUAGCUGUCGGGGGUGUCGACUCCCUCGGUAGCGUAGCUAACGCGUUAAGUACUCCGCCUGGGGACUACGGCCGCAAGGCUAAAACUCAAAGGAAUUGACGGGGGCCCGCACAAGCAGCGGAGCGUGUGGUU